RNAcentral lists this ribosomal RNA (461 nucleotides) under uncultured bacterium. RNAcentral describes it as "bacterial SSU rRNA". It matches the Rfam family "Bacterial small subunit ribosomal RNA", at positions 340 to 791 of the family's 1533-position model. The record is from RNAcentral.
UACGGGAGGCAGCAGUGGGGAAUAUUGCACAAUGGGCGCAAGCCUGAUGCAGCCAUGCCGCGUGUAUGAAGAAGGCCUUCGGGUUGUAAAGUACUUUUCAGCGGGGAGGAAGGCGGUGAAGUUAAUAGCUUCACCGAUUGACGUUACCCGCAGAAGAAGCACCGGCUAACUCCGUGCCAGCAGCCGCGGUAAUACGGAGGGUGCAAGCGUUAAUCGGAAUUACUGGGCGUAAAAGCGCACGCAGGCGGUCUGUCAAGUCGGAUGUGAAAUCCCCGGGCUUAACCUGGGAACUGCAUUCGAAACUGGCAGGCUAGAGUCUUGUAGAGGGGGUAGAAUUCCAGGUGUAGCGGUGAAAUGCGUAGAGAUCUGGAGGAAUACCGGUGGCGAAGGCGGCCCCUGGGACAAAGACUGACGCUCAGGUGCGAAAGCGUGGGGAGCAAACAGGGAUUAGGAUACCCGGU